UUUGGCCUCAGACAUUUCACCCUGCAGCCCAAAACUGGUUACUCACUGAAGCUAAGCAGGGCUGAGCCUGCAGUACCUGUAUAGAAGACUACAUGGAAAAACUAGGUUGCUGCUGAAA
This 118-nucleotide ribosomal RNA is filed under the name Danio rerio (zebrafish). The record is from RNAcentral. Lineage: Eukaryota; Metazoa; Chordata; Actinopteri; Cypriniformes; Danionidae.